This 46-nucleotide ribosomal RNA is filed under the name Halimeda minima. Its description in RNAcentral is "partial 5.8S ribosomal RNA". The record is from RNAcentral. Lineage: Eukaryota; Viridiplantae; Chlorophyta; Ulvophyceae; Bryopsidales; Halimedaceae.
GCGUGGUGGACGGCUCGGUUCCCGCGUCGAUGAAGGACGUAGCGAA